This 212-nucleotide unclassified non-coding RNA is filed under the name uncultured Entrophospora. Its description in RNAcentral is "uncultured Claroideoglomus partial internal transcribed spacer 2". The record is from RNAcentral. Lineage: Eukaryota; Fungi; Glomeromycota; Glomeromycetes; Entrophosporales; Entrophosporaceae.
AAAUAACAAAUUAUCACAAUCGUUGGUUGUGGAAUUGGGCCCUUAUUUCGAAUAGAUUUAUGGCCUUAAAUUUACGUCAUGUGUUAAUUCGAACCAAACGGAGCAAUUAAACAUUCUCUCGUUAGACGGAUUAUUCACAAGCAAUUACGAUUUUUUGGACGACGAAAAGCACUCUCACGAGCGCGAAGCCCAAGAUCGUAAAUUUAAUUGAC